This 200-nucleotide ribosomal RNA is filed under the name uncultured bacterium. RNAcentral describes it as "partial 16S ribosomal RNA". It matches the Rfam family "Bacterial small subunit ribosomal RNA", at positions 1301 to 1500 of the family's 1533-position model. The record is from RNAcentral.
CAGGCUGCAACUCGCCUGCAUGAAGUUGGAAUUGCUAGUAAUCGCGAAUCAGAAUGUCGCGGUGAAUACGUUCCCGGGCCUUGUACACACCGCCCGUCACACCAUGAGAGUCGGAAAUGCCCGAAGCCGGUGACCCAACCAAAAGGAGGGAGCCGUCGAAGGCAGGUCGGAUGACUGGGGUGAAGUCGUAACAAGGUAAC